UGGGCAUGAGGUUCCUUGAAUUUUAAUUGAUACUGAAUUAUGACAGGUAGAGGCAUAUGUUCUACUAAACUGCAAGGAGGUUGAUGCAUAUGUUGAGUAAGUAUCCAUCACAAUCCCAACUACUCAACUUCUUAUUACAGUAUACUUAACUUAUGUAUGUUUAGGCAAUAUGAUGGGAUACUGAGAUGGAACAACCCAAAGA
This 202-nucleotide long non-coding RNA is filed under the name Elaeis guineensis (African oil palm). Its description in RNAcentral is "long non-coding RNA (EGUI_LNC064718)". Lineage: Eukaryota; Viridiplantae; Streptophyta; Magnoliopsida; Arecales; Arecaceae. The record is from RNAcentral.